CCUACGGGCGGCUGCAGUGGGGAAUAGUCUACAAUGGACGAAAGUCUGAUAGUGCGACGCCGCGUGAACGAAGAAUCCCUUCGGGGUGUAAAGUUCUUUUAUAUGUGAGCAAUGCCUUGUAUGUGAAUAGCAUGCAGGGAGAGAUAUUAGCAUAUGAAUAAGCAACGGCUAACUCCGUGCCAGCAGCCGCGGUAACACGGGGGUUGCAAGCGUUGUCCGGAAUUACUAGGCGUAAAGGGCAGGUAGGCGGAUCUAUAAGUUUGAUGGUUAAAGGCAGCGGCUCACCCGCUGUAGGGCCUCAGAUACUGUAGAUCUGGAAUACGGUUGAGGAAGACAGAAUUCCUGGUGUAGCGGUGGAAUGCGCAGAGAUCAGGAGGAAUACCAAAGGCGAAGGCAGUCUUCUAAGCCGUUAUUGACGCUAAACUGCGAAGGUGUGGGUAUCAAACAGGAUUAGAUACCCCAGUAGUC
Molecule: ribosomal RNA, 468 nt
Filed under: uncultured Spirochaetota bacterium
Lineage: Bacteria; Pseudomonadati; Spirochaetota
Description: bacterial SSU rRNA
Rfam family: Bacterial small subunit ribosomal RNA
Source: RNAcentral